Molecule: ribosomal RNA, 449 nt
Filed under: uncultured bacterium
Lineage: Bacteria
Description: bacterial SSU rRNA
Rfam family: Bacterial small subunit ribosomal RNA
Source: RNAcentral
GUGGGGAAUCUUGCGCAAUGGGCGGAAGCCUGACGCAGCAACGCCGCGUGCGGGACGAAGGCCCUAGGGUCGUAAACCGCUUUCAGGGGGGACGAAGCUUCCGGGGUUAAUAGCCUACGGGGUGACGGUACUCCCAGAAGAAGGUCCGGCUAACUACGUGCCAGCAGCCGCGGUAAUACGUAGGGACCGAGCGUUGUCCGGAAUCAUUGGGCGUAAAGAGCGUGUAGGCGGCCUGGUAGGUCUUGUGUGAAAUCCCGCGGCUCAACCGCGGAUCCGCACAGGAAACCCCCAGGCUCGAGUCCGGAAGAGGAGAGUGGAAUUCCUGGUGUAGCGGUGAAAUGCGCAGAUAUCAGGAAGAACACCCGUAGCGAAGGCGGCUCUCUGGGACGGUACUGACGCUGAGACGCGAAAGCGUGGGGAGCAAACAGGAUUAGAAACCCCAGUAGUCC